RNAcentral lists this ribosomal RNA (466 nucleotides) under uncultured bacterium. RNAcentral's name for it is "bacterial SSU rRNA". It matches the Rfam family "Bacterial small subunit ribosomal RNA", at positions 198 to 645 of the family's 1533-position model. The record is from RNAcentral.
GGAGGAAAGUAGGGGAUCGAAAGACCUUAUGCUUUUGGAGCGGCCGAUGUCUGAUUAGCUAGUUGGUAGGGUAAUGGCUUACCAAGGCGACGAUCAGUAGUUGGUCUGAGAGGACGACCAGCCACACUGGGACUGAGACACGGCCCAGACUCCUACGGGAGGCAGCAGUGGGGAAUUUUGGACAAUGGGCGCAAGCCUGAUCCAGCAAUGCCGCGUGAGUGAAGAAGGCCUUCGGGUUGUAAAGCUCUUUCAGUUGAAAAGAAAAAGCCGUGACUAAUAAUCAUGGUUCAUGACGGUAUCAACAGAAGAAGCACCGGCUAACUACGUGCCAGCAGCCGCGGUAAUACGUAGGGUGCGAGCGUUAAUCGGAAUUACUGGGCGUAAAGGGUGCGCAGGCGGUUCUGUAAGUCAGAUGUGAAAUCCCCGGGCUUAACCUGGGAACUGCGUUUGAAACUACAAGGCUAGA